Long non-coding RNA from Lethenteron reissneri (Far Eastern brook lamprey), 4846 nucleotides. RefSeq lists it as uncharacterized. Lineage: Eukaryota; Metazoa; Chordata; Hyperoartia; Petromyzontiformes; Petromyzontidae. The record is from RefSeq and is a predicted model, not a curated record.
GUGGUUUUAUUCACAACCAUGCACCAUUCAUAUAUUAAUAUACAUUAUAGAAAAGUCAAGAUCACAGCGUCACCUUGUGCACUACACUCCCAGUGGUUGUGUUUAUAUAUAUAAGGCGAUUUCUAACACUGCCGAUCCACUGCUUGAUGUCACAGAGGCCUUCCCGCACCGUGUCGGUCAUGGGGGCUCGACUUUACAGUCCUCAAGGGCUGAUCGGUGUGGGCUCGUGAAAGGUCGAGGAUUGGCUUUGAUGUCACUCCCCACUGACGAUCGUCAUCGCCGGGAAUCAAACUUAGGUCCAGUGGUUAGUGCAGCGCGCUCACCAAUGCACCACUGCCGCACCCUAAGUUGCUGUUUUAGUGAGUACCAAUUAGGCCUGGCAUAGUACACGUGGACAAUAGGACCCAGUAACUCUGCCGGACCGAUAAAGUGUUAACACCCUGCGGAUGGUCAUAAUUUUCAUCUCAUCUCGCCCGCGGCUAUUCCAGGACAAGUUCCACGAGUUAACGUGGCCAGGAAUCCAACCGAGGUGGGAGAGGGAUUUGUAGGGUGCAGCUUUUGUGCCAGCCGCCACUCCUCACACACACAUAGCUUAUGCGCAUACACGUGCAUGCAUGCAUGCAGAUGCACUGGGCCAGAAGGGUAGCUCGCAAUGUUGUUUUUCUUUUAGAAUGGGGGAAUGUCCCUGGCUCCCGGCCAGCUUCUAUGCAAAUUCAAUCAGCAGACAUCACCCACGGAGGCGGCGGGGUGGUCAACACUUGCCCCGGUGGCCUCUUUCUCGUUGUCACCGGUCGUGUGCUAUACACAAGUCAGGAUUUGUAGAGAUUUCAGGUUGCAGAUAUUUUUUGUUCGUACAAUCUCAGGAAUUUCAAGAAAAAUAAUUCCACCUGGGGCCGCCUUUCGUUUUUUUUGCUUAACGAAAAAAUAAUAAUAAUAAUAAUGUGUUUCUCUGCGCACCCCAAAAAAAAAACCUUCGCGCAGAAAAAAAACCCCUUCGUGUUCUUGCCCGACAGCCAAGCACAAUACGAGAGCACGCGUUGACAAUACCACGCAUUGUGCCACCAACCCCCCCCUCGCCCCUCCUCUCCACGCAGCGAAACAGAACGUCCACACACAACACAAACAGCGGUUACCUGCUGCAACGCAUUAGCGCAGCGUGUUUUCCAUGAAAUGGUAGCAUUAAUCAAGGGCGCGGGGUGGGGGGGCUGAAUUAAAUCAAGUGCUAACGUCGGGUAACAAUGCAGCGCUCUGUGCGUCUAUCAGAGGGCUGGGAAUACAAGAAUCCCCUUUGAACUAGAACCGUUUAAAUAUGCACUUAAUCAUUUUCGAUACGUUCGAAUGUGUAUUACGAUUGUGCGGUCCGUACUAAUGUUUUAUUUCAGUGCCGCUACAGGUGAAAGUAUAUGUGUUUGUAUGUAUGUGGGUAUUCAUGUAUGUAUAGGUAUGUUUGUAUAUAUGUAUAUGUAGGUUUGUAUGUAUGUAGCUACCAUAAAAAUAUAUAAAUGCAUUGGUCAUCGUCGUAAAAUAGUGAACAGUUAUUCGUGUCGAGGGCAUUUUAUGCGUGAAAAAUAUUUUCGGAAUUUAAAUGUGAUGCGUAACAAUAAAAAUAAGCGUAUGAGUUCACGUGAUAAAUGAGAGGCUUUGUCUGGUUUUUUUUGUUCAUUGUCCAACGAAGUUUGCUGCAGGGAUUCAAAGUAAUAUCGCAGUGAGAAUGUGAGCCUCGAGUUAAUGCACACCCCACAGUUUAGCUUGACAGAUUUCGCAGUAUCGACUGAAACAACUCGUGACAUCAAUGCACGGUCGCGAUACACUCCCUGAACGUACACUUUAAUCGCAUCGUGUCAAAAUGUGAGUGUAAAUUACUCAAAGGCGCCAAACUUUAUCUGGACCGCGCAUGUCAGAUAUUUCCAGCGCUAUGACAGAGCCUUGGGUGGGGGAAGGGGGGUGGUGGCGUCAUAGUCAGUGCACUGCACUAUGAAGAGCCUUGCAGGAUUAAACUAUUAAACAAAAACUAAACUUUUUAUUGUUUUACCAGGUAAGGCCAACUGAGCUAUACAUCUCUUUUUUUUCAGCAACGACAUGGCCACGAAUGAUAGCUCAACAAAGUGGCUUAUCGUGUGGAAAUGUAUAGCAGCCGAAUAAUAAAAUAACGCAUGUCUCUAAACGUGGAGGGAAAAACCGGAGCAGCCAAAAAAAAAUCGACGCGACCAUGGGGACAGAGGCACGUAAACUCCAAAUAUACAGCAGCAGGCGCCAGGGUCGGGAUCGAACCCACGACCUCCUGUACACCAGGCGAGGUAGCUAACAUCUCCGAGCCACCGCAGCGAUGAUGUCAGCGAUGGGGAACAAACGGCGGCGCGUGACAGUUGAAUGUCUCCUCAUGCCCCCCCCCUCCCACCUUCACCGUGGUGAAGUAUGGUGAAACGACCCCCCACGUAACUGACAGGGUGUUGUUGCGGAGGUCUUCAUUCGGUAAGUGGAUACACUGCUGUGAGUAAUAUAAUCGUCAAUGAAACAUUGAAGCUUCGUUUUCUCAAGAUGGCUCAGUGUAUAACAUAUGAUGACUCUGUGGAAUUAUCUCAGUUCAACGCGCAGCCUUUCGCGAGCAAUAUUAUCAACAGGAAAGGUUUUUUUUUUUGGGCUACAUCGCGUGAAUAUAAAAGUGUCGUUAACCCGCCACCACCCGACACGGCCAAUUAGUGAGGUUUGUCGCGUGAACAAAACGUGCCAAUUCGUUACUACUUCCGCACACCGGUGUGGUGGAGAGAAAACCCAGAGCAUUGACAAUUUGAGCAUCGUGACGUUCCGCUGGUGAUUGCAACCAGCUUCUUCAGGCGAUUUGCCAAAGUUGUGAAGAAGUCCCCCUGUUUGGGUCUUAAGUAGAGUAUUGUGGGCGUAACGAGUCAUUGAUUCACAGCAGGGUUCACGAUACGCGUGUGUCAACAUCGACGUACUUCCAUCCGCAUGCGGUUGUGCGCUAGUGAGUUCAGCACGAGAGGUCUCUGCAGCCACCACGAUGUUAAAAGCAGAGAACCGAGUUCUUGAAUCGAACCGUGAUGCUGAAUCACAAUAAUUAAUUGUAUUAAUUUAAUUGUUGGAUGUGGUGGGGGGGGGGGGGGUGUUGAAUUGUUACAGCCCUGUUUUAGAUUCUAACAAAACGUUACAAGUGAUUUCAACGAGGUUUCUUAGUUGUUGUUAUUGUUGAGCUACAUUAACGCUGCUGGAUAAUAAAAAUAAAAUACAACUUAAACGGUCUUCUCAUGCGUGGGAUUCCUGUGCGAAGUGACGAAUCGCAAAGCUAAGCAGUCAUUAAGUACCAUGGAUGAGAAGGCAUCGGUGUGGUGCAGUGGUGACCUUUGCCUCUCGCAGAAAGAAGGCCUGAGUUUGAUUCUCCACUCGGGUGCCUUUCUGCAUGGAGUUUGUGUGUUAGCCACUCGUUCUACAUGGAUUUCCUCUGGGUUCUCCUACCUAUUCCCAUAACCCCCCCCCCCCCCCAAUUUUUUUUUUCUAAAUCAACGUAACUGGUAUCGGUCAAGCAUCCAAAUACAAACAAAUACGUGCAUGCUACUCAAUUAGGGUUAAACAUUGCAACAUCACCCCCUCCUGCGAACACCUUGCAGGACCAUCUUGUGAAUUUAUCUCGACACGAAGUGAGGCUUCCCUGGGUAAACAAAUAUAAUAAUACAUAAAUAAGGAUAAAAUAAGUAACUUGCUCAAAAUCACUUUGUUAUGAUCUCGCUCUCUCAUGCUGCCCACUGCCGCACUAGAAACUAAUAAUGUAUUUAUUUAGAGCCUGGCUCUGUAACUUUGGCUGCUGAAGCCACAAAUUUAAUCCCUAAUUUGAUUUAAAAUAAAGCCAUUUAUAUAUUUUAUUAUUCGUACCACUGAAACUUGGGACGCACAAAGGAGUUGCUGGCCGUCGGCGUGGAGCAGACAACCUGGGCCAACAACGCGAGCGAGGGAGGGGAGGGAGGGAGGGGUGAGCAGGCGCUACUCUGUGGACAGACCCGCCGGAGCCUGGCACAUGCCCACCACAUUUAACAAACACAAGCUGGCAAGCCAAACCCAUUGGGGGGCGAGGGAGGCUCAAUUCUCUUUCAUGGGAAAUCAACUCCUGUGUGUUUUCGCGCUCGACCGCAUGUAGGGCUCACAGAGGCACAUGGCAACAGUGAACGCAGAUUACUGUAACUGUGCGCACUGAUGAGUCCAAGUGAGAACGACGCCGACACGAUAAGUUGCGUCUUCGCUUCGCUGCUGCUUUUUGGGGCACAGCGGUUGAGUGUGGUGGAGCGCUGACCCGGUGGUUAGCGCGCUACGCUACGAGUCCGACCGCUCACCGCUCACCAGUUUGAGGCGAUCAACUCGUGGCACUUGAGAGGCCGCCUUCAUGAAGGGGCAGCUGGCACCCAGUAUCGAGGCCUGGAUCUCAGCGGUGCCACGCAGCGCUCUGACCUCUGACCCCUGAGCUACCCGGCCACCGGGCAACGUAUUUUUGGCAACUGUGACAUUGUUUUUUUUAUUAGAUUUAAAUGAAUAUUAUAUAUUUUUUUAUAUAGAAGUGGGUGGGGAAGGAUCCAGUUUACAGUAAUUAAUUUGUGAAUGUCUCAAAUAGUUAAGCUAAUGUACACACCAGCAGAUAAAUGUAUGUAUGUUGAACUUCUUUCGUACCGUACGUAGCAAACCACAUUAUGCACACAGUAUUAUAGAAUAAUAAGAGUCUACAAGCAUUUGGCAAUCCAAUUAUGGAAAGAUUGCUCAUAUCAUUUUGGCCAUGGGGGUUAUUUGACCAUACUUCACCACACUGGUCAGUACGGGUUUAUAAAGGGUGGGGGGAGGACAGGGCAAG